AACGAACGCUGGCGGCAUGCCUAACACAUGCAAGUCGAACGGGAUCCUGGCUUCGGCCAGGUGAGAGUGGCGGACGGGUGAGUAGCGCGUGGGAACCUGCCCAUUGGUCUGGGAUAACUGCGGGAAACUGCAGCUAAUACCGGAUGUACCCGAGAGGGGAAAGAUUUAUCGCCGAUGGAGGGGCCCGCGUCAGAUUAGGUAGUUGGUGAGGUAACGGCUCACCAAGCCUACGAUCUGUAGCUGGUCUGAGAGGAUGAUCAGCCACACUGGGACUGAGAUACGGCCCAGACUCCUACGGGAGGCAGCAGUGGGGAAUAUUGGACAAAUGGGGGCAACCCUGAUCCAGCAAUGCCGCGUGAGUGAUGAAGGCCUUAGGGUGUAAAGCUCUUUUGUGGGGAAGAUAAUGACGGUACCCCAAGAAGAAGCCCGGCUAACUCCGUGCCAGCAGCCG
Molecule: ribosomal RNA, 451 nt
Filed under: uncultured bacterium
Lineage: Bacteria
Description: bacterial SSU rRNA
Rfam family: Bacterial small subunit ribosomal RNA
Source: RNAcentral